CUGACUCAGCCUCCCAAAAUGCUGGGAUUACAGGCAUGAGCCAACAUGCCCGGCCAGCCACUGUUUUUGUAGUCAGGAGAUUGCCACCAUAAAUUGUGUAGCCAAGGUGACAAAGAAGUUAUUAAUAAUUUUAUGACACAUUUCCCUUUCCUUCUAUGCCCCUUCUAAGAUGUUUAAAUUUAUUAGCAUAGUAAUAUGGAUUUAAUGACAACACAAUGGAGAAAUCUGGAAUUGCAGAAUGAAUGGUGAUGUUUCACUGCUUUCUGUACAGAUAAUUUUAUCUUCAUUAAAAGCUAGUGAUUUAGGGGUACUCUUAAGAUUAUAAGCCUCCUUUUAUAGAGCUUUGGAACAAACAAAUGUUCUUAAUAAAGAGCAGGAAGUGAGGAGGGGCUGGACUCAGAGGGGUGAGCUGUUAGGAGGCAUUGUCUAGUCUCGGGACAGCAGGCAGAGUAAUUGCUAACUGAAGGAAACUUCCAAGGAUAACUCUGGGAGUCCUCAUCUGGGCUGAAGACAGGACUACUACCAGAGGGGCAGUGGGAUCAAUGGGACUCCAAGCGAGUGCAUGUCACAGAAGCCCUGGCCCUGGUCUCCCAAGGCAGGGAUGCCUGAGUUCUACUUGUCAUGUGUCUCUCUGGCUGACCACAGCUGGCUGUCAGGCCCAGCAAACAUCUCUGCAGCUCUUUCCGGGGCAAAACGUCUCCCCUUCCAGACAUCCAACUUCUUAAUUCUCCUGACCUUAGAGCCCAUCUUAAAACAAAAUGAAAAACAAACCAGGGGAUCAAGUUGCUGGAUGACUCAUUGCAGAGUUUCUCCUUCUUUCCCAAUUACACAGGGUGUCUAAGAUUAGAUUAGCCAAGGCCAACAGUGCAGACUAUUGUGCACCUGGCUAGCAGAGUCUUCCUUAGGCAUUAAAGUAAAAACACUUGAUCACAUAACACCACCUGCCAACAUUCAGCCUCCUCUGCCCAUCAGCCUUGCUGACACAGGGAGUGGAGAUUUGUGUAGAGAAAUGACUCAUUCAAAUAUGACUUAAUCUAAACCGUAAGUGUAUGAUUUAUUAAUGUGCCACCAGGCCUUACACCAAGAGAGCCAUUCCAGAGAAAAGUCCUUUUUCUCCUGAGAACAGUGCCAGCAGCUGGCUUCGUGACAUUCUGGAAGCCCCGUGCAAUGCUGUCAGGAGCAUAGGGAUUUUACUUUAUCUCCCUUGCUUAUGCUCCACAUAACUGAAAUAUCUCACUGGAAGCUGCAGCAGUGCUGGCCCCUUGCACAGCCAUAUGUGACCACUGCAGAACAAUCAGUUGGAGAGACAGUUUGGACUACAUGGAGGGUGGAGAUAAGGACAAAGUGAAGAAUACACAGGAACCAGUGCCUCCUCCUGGAACUAUGCAACUCCAAGCUGCUUCCAUCAGCUGCUAGGUCCAGUAGGGAGGGACCUACUGAGAGAGCUAAUUAAAAAUGUGGUGUCCUGGACUCACGAAGCCAGAAUUGCUGAGGAGAUAGCCCGAGAAUCUGAAUUUUUAGCAGACAUUUUUUUAGGUAAGAACUUCCCAAUGAUUUUGCCGCAAAUGAAUUAAAGAAGAAUAGACACCCUCAGCUUUCUAGUGGCUUGUGGCAAAGAAAGGCACAAGCCCUGGGCUGAUUGUCUUCCUGCAUGAACGGCCUCAUUCAUUUCUCUCAGGUACCUUACCCGCAGGAUCAUUUCUGUGAAUAUCCAUGAGGUGAAAAAGUCUGGGAAACACUGUCCUAGACAGGAAACGCCACGAAGUGUCUGGAUCAAAGAACAGACUAUUGCUCACAGAGCACCUUCAUAGCAUUGUUCCUCAUGCCCCCGUUGCCCAAGGGGAUGGCAGGUUGAGGACCAGAUGUACUUGCAUGUUCAGGGGAUGCAGCACAGAAGAGGAACUCCAAAAUUAUUAUUAUUAUUGUUAUUAUUAUUAUUUUUGAGAUGGAGUCUCGCUCUGU
RNAcentral lists this long non-coding RNA (1962 nucleotides) under Homo sapiens (human). Its description in RNAcentral is "HSALNT0299083". Lineage: Eukaryota; Metazoa; Chordata; Mammalia; Primates; Hominidae. The record is from RNAcentral.